UACGACUACAUAUCAGGCAUAUCAAUAAGCGGAGGAAAAGAAACUAACUAGGAUUCCCUUAGUAACGGCGAGUGAAGCGGGAAGAGCUCAAAUUUGAAAUCUUCAAGGUUUUACCUUGACGAAUUGUAGUUUAAAGAAGUGUUUUCUGUUGGUGUUUUGGUAAAAGUUCUUUGGAAUAGGACAUCAUAGAGGGUGAGAAUCCCGUAUUUGACCAUUACUUCCAGCGUUGUGAUACACUUUCAAAGAGUCGGAUUGUUUGGGAAUGCAGUCCAAGAUGGGUGGUAAAUUUCAUCUAAAGCUAAAUAUUGGCGAGAGACCGAUAGCGAACAAGUACCGUGAGGGAAAGAUGAGAAGAACUUUGAAAAGAGAGUUAAACAGUACGUGAAAUUGUCAAAAGGGAAGCGUUUGACACCAGUGUUGUUUUCUCGAAAAUCAAUUAAAAAUGGCUUGAUUUUGUGUUGUAUUGACCUUAAAAGCUUUCUUCACUUUUUUCAUGUCUUUUUUAAUGCACUUUUCGUUUAACAAGUCAGCAUCAGUUUCUUUUGUUGUAAAAAGGUCAUUGGAAGGUGGCUUUCUUUUCGGAGAAAGUGUUUAUAGCCUUUGACUCCUGCAAUCGGAGAGACUGAGGUCUGCAGCGUAGAUCCUUUUGGAUUAGAUUCAUUUGUGCUAAGUUAUAGCUUUUUAUAGACAACAUGUUGACUAUAUUUAGUCUUGUAACUUACUCGCUUAUGUAAUUUUACCUACGCUUAGGAUGUUGACGCGCGUGUGUGCGUG
Molecule: ribosomal RNA, 774 nt
Filed under: uncultured Neocallimastigales
Lineage: Eukaryota; Fungi; Neocallimastigomycota; Neocallimastigomycetes; Neocallimastigales
Description: partial large subunit ribosomal RNA
Rfam family: Eukaryotic large subunit ribosomal RNA
Source: RNAcentral